This 403-nucleotide long non-coding RNA is filed under the name Homo sapiens (human). RNAcentral's name for it is "HSALNT0049482". Lineage: Eukaryota; Metazoa; Chordata; Mammalia; Primates; Hominidae. The record is from RNAcentral.
UUUGAAUGUGUUAAGUGAAAUGAUACUUGUACUCCCCCUACCCCUUUGUCAACUGCUGUGAAUGCUGUAUGGUGUGUGUUCUCUUCUGUUACUGAUAUGUAAGUGUGGCAAUGUGAACUGAAGCUGAUGGGCUGAGAACAUGGACUGAGCUUGUGGUGUGCUUUGCAGGAGGACUUGGAAGCAGAGUUCAGCAGUGAACUCUGGUGUCUCAAAGAAGGGUAGAAGUUCUAAUGUCUGUUAGCUACCCAUAAGAAUGCUGUUUGCUGCAGUUCUGUGUCCUGUGCUUGGAUGCUUUUUAUAAGAGUUGUCAUUGUUGGAAAUUCUUAAAUAAAACUGAUUUAAAAAAAAAAAACCAAAAAUCUAAGUAAAGGGGUCGGAACUACAUCUCCCAGGAGGCCCCGCG